AAAUGGACUCAGAACAAAAGAUGCAUGGGAAAAGUUUCACCAUACAAGUCAAGCUUCCAAUAAUGCAUAAGUGCUUCACUCUGCAAUACAAGAUAACUUCCUUGUAAAGGGACUUUCCUGCAGCUUCCGCAUGCACAGAAUGCUGGCUCUGACCUUCCUGUGGUGACAGCAGUGAGUACCUAUGCCAUCUUUUGCAAACUGAGCACAAAUGGAUUCAAUGCAAGUGCACAGAUCACUAUACAGACCACAGAUGUUGUUACCGAGAAAAGAUCAAAUGAGAC
RNAcentral lists this long non-coding RNA (281 nucleotides) under Marmota marmota marmota (Alpine marmot). Its description in RNAcentral is "lncRNA (ENSMMMG00000011685.1)". The record is from RNAcentral. Lineage: Eukaryota; Metazoa; Chordata; Mammalia; Rodentia; Sciuridae.